UCUAGGGUGGCAAGACAUAGCCUUAUAUAUUACAUGCGACAAUAUAUGGCGCAAUGACUUAUGGGGCUGGCAUAGAUUUUUUUUCCAGGGCUGCUUUGGAAUCCCCAGUCCGGCCCUGUGUCAGUCAGUAUGUAUGUGUGUGUGUGUCAGUUUGUAUGUCUGUAUGUGUGUCAGUAUGUAUGUGUGUCAGUCAGUAUGUAUGUCUGUGUGUGUGUCAGUAUGUCUGUCUGUGUGUCAGUUUGUAUGUCAGUUUGUAUGUCUGUAUGUGUGUCAGUAUGUCUGUGUGUGUGUCAGUAUAUAUGUCUGUGUGUGUGUCAGUAUAUAUGUGUGUGUGUGUGUGUGUGUCAGUCAGUAUGUAUGUCUGUAUGUCUGUGUGUGUGUGUGUCAGUUUGUGUGUUUGUAUGUAUGUCGGUGUGCCAGUCAGUAUGUCUGUGUAUGUGUCAGUAUGUAUGUCUGUAUGUCUGUGUGUGUGUCUGUAUGUAUGUCGGUGUGCCAGUCAGUAUGUCUGUCACAGUGUCAGUAUGUAUGUCUGUCACAGUGUCAGUAUGUCUGUCACAGUGUCUGUGUGUGUCAGUAUAUCUGUUUGUCUGUGUGUCAGUGUGUGUAUCUGUAUGUUGUCAGUAUGUAUGUAUCUGUGUGUGUGCCAGUGUGUAUACCCAGGGCAGGUGCUGCCUCUAAGGCGAACUAGGCAGCUGCCUAGGGCGCCAUGUAGGAGGGGUAGCCCUGCGCCCCCAUCGCCAGCCCUUUAAAUACUGCAGCCACCUGAGCGCUCUGUAGAGAGCGCUCAGACGGCUGCCGCACUGCCUCUCUCCUCACCUCCCCUUCCUGUAGCGUAGCCGAGCUCCUCUCCGGACCGCGGUCCUGGCCGGACUGACAGGAAGUGCAGCUCUGGCGUUAGUUUAUAUGGCAGAUCAUAUGGG
Molecule: non-coding RNA, 920 nt
Organism: Pelobates cultripes (western spadefoot toad)
Lineage: Eukaryota; Metazoa; Chordata; Amphibia; Anura; Pelobatidae
Source: the annotation of a GenBank genome assembly